CGAUGAUCUCCAGCUUGCUGGGGGGAUUAGUGGCGAACGGGUGAGUAACACGUGAGUAACCUGCCCUUGACUCUGGGAUAAGCCUGGGAAACUGGGUCUAAUACUGGAUGUGACCUUUUGCCGCAUGGUGAUUGGUGGAAAGUUUUGAUGGUUUUGGAUGGACUCGCGGCCUAUCAGCUUGUUGGUGGGGUAAUGGCCUACCAAGGCGACGACGGGUAGCCGGCCUGAGAGGGUGGACGGCCACACUGGGACUGAGACACGGCCCAGACUCCUACGGGAGGCAGCAGUGGGGAAUAUUGCACAAUGGGCGAAAGCCUGAUGCAGCGACGCCGCGUGGGGGAUGAAGGCCUUCGGGUUGUAAACCUCUUUCAGUAGGGAAGAAGCGAAAGUGACGGUACCUGCAGAAGAAGCGCCGGCUAACUACGUGCCAGCAGCCGCGGUAAUACGUAGGGCGCAAGCGUUAUCCGGAAUUAUUGGGCGUAAAGAGCUCGUAGGCGGUUUGUCGCGUCUGCCGUGAAAGUCCGGGGCUUAACUCCGGAUCUGCGGUGGGUACGGGCAGACUAGAGUGAUGUAGGGGAGACUGGAAUUCCUGGUGUAGCGGUGAAAUGCGCAGAUAUCAGGAGGAACACCGAUGGCGAAGGCAGGUCUCUGGGCAUUAACUGACGCUGAGGAGCG
RNAcentral lists this ribosomal RNA (675 nucleotides) under Arthrobacter sp. RNAcentral's name for it is "bacterial SSU rRNA". It matches the Rfam family "Bacterial small subunit ribosomal RNA", at positions 67 to 755 of the family's 1533-position model. The record is from RNAcentral. Lineage: Bacteria; Bacillati; Actinomycetota; Actinomycetes; Micrococcales; Micrococcaceae.